UGUUGAUCUGAAUCUUCGGGUCCACAUCAUCUUCGCGGGACUUGGAAUUCCGGAGAAUUGCCUUUGUGAGAAACUGGCAGUAAGUUCUUUAAAUUCCAUCUCUUGGUCUUCCAUUUGGUUACGUUUCGGAGGAACUUCGGGAAACC
This 146-nucleotide non-coding RNA is filed under the name Ailuropoda melanoleuca (giant panda). Its description in RNAcentral is "ODC internal ribosome entry site (IRES)". It matches the Rfam family "ODC internal ribosome entry site (IRES)". Lineage: Eukaryota; Metazoa; Chordata; Mammalia; Carnivora; Ursidae. The record is from Rfam by way of RNAcentral.